AGUGAACGCUGGCGGCAGGCCUAACACAUGCAAGUCGAGCGGCAGCGGGUUCCCGCGAGGGGAUGCCGGCGAGCGGCGGACGGGUGAGGAACACAUCGGAAUCUGCCUGGUCGUGGGGGAUAACGUAGGGAAACUUACGCUAAUACCGCAUGAGACCCUGAGUCGACGGACUGGGGGUGAAAGUGAGGGACCUUCGGGCCUCACGCGACCAGAUGAGCCGAUGUCGGAUUAGCUAGUUGGCGGGGUAACGGCCCGCCAAGGCGACGAUCCGUAGCUGGUCUGAGAGGAUGAUCAGCCACACUGGGACUGAGACACGGCCCAGACUCCUACGGGAGGCAGCAGUGGGGAAUCUUGGACAAUGGGCGCAAGCCUGAUCCA
Molecule: ribosomal RNA, 378 nt
Filed under: uncultured bacterium
Lineage: Bacteria
Description: bacterial SSU rRNA
Rfam family: Bacterial small subunit ribosomal RNA
Source: RNAcentral